This 453-nucleotide ribosomal RNA is filed under the name uncultured Glomus. RNAcentral describes it as "SSU rRNA". It matches the Rfam family "Eukaryotic small subunit ribosomal RNA", at positions 569 to 1025 of the family's 1831-position model. The record is from RNAcentral. Lineage: Eukaryota; Fungi; Glomeromycota; Glomeromycetes; Glomerales; Glomeraceae.
AGCAGCCGCGGUAAUUCCAGCUCCAAUAGCGUAUAUUAAAGUUGUUGCAGUUAAAAAGCUCGUAGUUGAAUUUCGGGAUCAAUACGUCGGUCGUGCUUCGGUACGUACUAACGUCAUUGAUUUCUCCCUUCUGACGAAUCGUGAUGUCAUUAAUUUGGUGUUACGGGGAGUUAGGACUGUUACUUUGAAAAAAUUAGAGUGUUUAAAGCAAGCAAUCGCUCGAAUACAUUAGCAUGGAAUAAUGAAAUAGGACGUUCGAACCUAUUUUGUUGGUUUCUAGGAUCGACGUAAUGAUUAAUAGGGAUAGUUGGGGGCAUUAGUAUUCAAUUGUCAGAGGUGAAAUUCUUGGAUUUAUUGAAGACUAACUACUGCGAAAGCAUUUGCCAAGGAUGUUUUCAUUAAUCAAGAACGAAAGUUAAGGGGGAUCGAAGACGAUCAGAUACCGUCGUAGUC